CAGGGAGACAACAAAAUGUUUAAUAUUAUUAUUUUGUCACCUUAGGUCGAUCGGUAUCUCACGUUUUUAAUUUAUUAAGAAUUUCAUUUCCUAAGUUUUUCUAGGUCACACCCAUUAUUUUUCCUGGGCCAUUAGCUCAGGUGGUUAGAGCGCACCCCUGAUAAGGGUGAGGUCCCUGGUUCAAGUCCAGGAUGGCCCAUAUCUCUAUGUUGGGGGUAUAGCUCAGUUGGUAGAGCGCCUGCUUUGCAAGCAGGAUGUCAGCGGUUCGAGUCCGCUUACCUCCACUGAUUACCACCUCUUCCAUAACCGGUAGAAAGGAAAUGUUUUGAGUUGUGAUCAAAUUCUGAAAGAAUCUAGCUUCCUAAUGAAAUCAUUAAGAUGCUGGACUCAUUGAAUUAAUUUCAUUGUUUUCAGAGAACCUUGACAACUGCAUAGAUUAUUUUUAAAGACAAUAAGCAUCUUUAAUGAUGCAGAUUUAUUAUUUGUGCGAAUGCAUUAAAUAACAAUUCUAUUAAGCUGAUGCUUCAA
This 528-nucleotide transfer RNA is filed under the name uncultured Prochlorococcus sp. RNAcentral's name for it is "partial 16S-23S ribosomal RNA intergenic spacer". The stretch from base 212 to 284 matches the Rfam family "tRNA". The record is from RNAcentral. Lineage: Bacteria; Bacillati; Cyanobacteriota; Cyanophyceae; Synechococcales; Prochlorococcaceae.